UAUACAACUUGUAUCAUUCUCCAACUAUAUCAUAUUUCAAAUAGAAAGUAUGCAUUGAACCUUUCAAUACUUAAUCUCUUAUAUAAAGCUCAUUUGAUAUAAGGGAGAUAAUAGCUAAGGAGAAAAGAAAAGAUGGCUGAGUUCAUUGAAGAUACAAAUACAAAGAACAAGAAUAAAGAUCCAUCCAUAAGCCUUGUUUCUGAUGGAAAAUCUUCUAAUGAACCAUCAAAAAAUGACCAAGUAGUAGAAACACAACCAGAAAAUAGUACACAAAAUCAAGAAAAAGAAAAUAUUAUUGCUCAACAAGGCCAAGAAGAAGAGGAGGAGAUGAAUGCUAAUGAUGAGGAAAGAGCAAAUUUUUCAACACCUCCAGGAAAAAGAUCAGCUCCUAAACCUAAGACGGGUUGAAACUAAUUAAUUAAUUAAGUCUUUGGGAAUUCCAAUAUUGUGCUAAUUAUUUCAAGAAACCUAGUUGUUUUCUAGGUUUUUUUUUUUUGGUUUGUUCUUCUCAUUUUUAAUAUUGUAAUUUGUAAUGGUUAAUUCUUCUUGGUUAUUGUAAUGGUUAAUCUGUUUUAAAAAGAAUGUCAUAAGAAA
This is a long non-coding RNA of Solanum tuberosum (potato), 594 nucleotides long. RefSeq lists it as uncharacterized. The record is from RefSeq and is a predicted model, not a curated record. The transcript is spliced from 2 exons. NCBI's taxonomy places the organism in Eukaryota, Viridiplantae, Streptophyta, Magnoliopsida, Solanales, Solanaceae.